AUAACGAUACGGGACUCAUCCGAGGCCCCGUAAUCGGAAUGAGUACACUUUAAAUCCUUCAACGAGGAUCCAUUGGAGGGCAAGUCUGGUGCCAGCAGCCGCGGUAAUUCCAGCUCCAAUAGCGUAUAUUAAAGUUGUUGCGGUUAAAAAGCUCGUAGUUGAAUCUGUGUGCCACGCUGUCGGUUCAUCGCUCGCGAUGUUUAACUGACAUGAUUGUGGGACGUCCUACCGGUGGACUUAGCCUUUUAGGCACGGUCCAGCUAAUAUCCCAUCACGGUGCUCUUUAUUGAGUGCCGAGGUGGGCCGGUACGUUUACUUUGAACAAAUUAGAGUGCUCAAAGCAGGCUAUGUUCGCCUGAAUACUGUGUGCAUGGAAUAAUGGAAUAGGACCUCGGUUCUAUUUUGUUGGUUUUCGGAACCCCGAGGUAAUGAUUAAUAGGGACAGAUGGGGGCAUUCGUAUUGCGACGUUAGAGGUGAAAUUCUUGGAUCGUCGCAAGACGGACAGAAGCGAAAGCAUUUGCCAAAAAUGUUUUCAUUAAUCAAGAACGAAAGUUAGAGGUUCGAAGGCGAUCAGAUACCGCCCUAGUUCUAACCAUAAACGAUGCCAGCUAGCGAUCCGCCGAUGUUCCUUUUAUGACUCGGCGGGCAGCUUCCGGGAAACCAAAGCUUUUGGGUUCCGGGGGAAGUAUGGUUGCAAAGCUGAAACUUAAAGGAAUUGACGGAAGGGCACCACCAGGAGUGGAGCCUGCGGCUUAAUUUGACUCAACACGGG
Molecule: ribosomal RNA, 773 nt
Filed under: Spalangia nr. haematobiae D1483
Lineage: Eukaryota; Metazoa; Arthropoda; Insecta; Hymenoptera; Spalangiidae
Description: SSU rRNA
Rfam family: Eukaryotic small subunit ribosomal RNA
Source: RNAcentral